GACGAACGCUGGCGGCGUGCUUAACACAUGCAAGUCGAACGGAAAGGCCCUGCUUUUGUGGGGUGCUCGAGUGGCGAACGGGUGAGUAACACGUGAGUAACCUGCCCUUGACUUUGGGAUAACUACAGGAAACUGGGGCUAAUACCGGAUAGGAGCUCCUGCUGCAUGGUGGGGGUUGGAAAGUUUCGGCGGUUGGGGAUGGACUCGCGGCUUAUCAGCUUGUUGGUGGGGUAGUGGCUUACCAAGGCUUUGACGGGUCGCCGGCCUGAGAGGGUGGCCGGCCACAUUGGGCCUGAGGUACGGCCCAGACUCCUACGGGAGGCAGCAGUGGGGAAUAUUGCACAAUGGGCGGAAGCCUGAUGCAGCAACGCCGCGUGCGGGAUGACGGCCUUCGGGUUGUAAACCGCUUUCGCCUGUGACGAAGCGUGAGUGACGGUAAUGGGUAAAGAAGCACCGGCUAACUACGUG
This 468-nucleotide ribosomal RNA is filed under the name uncultured bacterium. RNAcentral describes it as "partial 16S ribosomal RNA". It matches the Rfam family "Bacterial small subunit ribosomal RNA", at positions 28 to 507 of the family's 1533-position model. The record is from RNAcentral.